GGUCAAGCGAACAAGUGCAUGUGGUGGAUGCCUUGGCGAUCACAGGCGAUGAAGGACGCGGUAGCCUGCGAAAAGCCCCGGGGAGCUGGCAAACAAGCUUUGAUCCGGGGAUGUCCGAAUGGGGAAACCCACUCCGUAUGGAGUAUCCAUGACUGAAUACAUAGGUCAUGUGAAGCGAACGCGGUGAACUGAAACAUCUAAGUAACCGCAGGAAAAGAAAUCAACCGAGAUUCCCAAAGUAGUGGCGAGCGAAAUGGGAUGAGCCUUGUACUCUUUAUUCGUAUUGUUAGCCGAACGCUCUGGAAAGUGCGGCCAUAGCAGGUGAUAGCCCUGUAGGCGAAAACAGUAUGAAAGAACUAGGUGUACGACAAGUAGGGCGGGACACGUGAAAUCCUGUCUGAAGAUGGGGGGACCAUCCUCCAAGGCUAAAUACUCGUGAUCGACCGAUAGUGAACCAGUACCGUGAGGGAAAGGCGAAAAGAACCCCGGGAGGGGAGUGAAAUAGAUCCUGAAACCGCAUGCAUACAAACAGUCGGAGCCUCGUAAGGGGUGACGGCGUACCUUUUGUAUAAUGGGUCAGCGACUUACGUUCAGUAGCAAGCUUAACCGUAUAGGGCAGGCGUAGCGAAAGCGAGUCCGAAUAGGGCGUUCAGUUGCUGGGCGUAGACCCGAAACCAGGUGAUCUAUCCAUGGCCAGGAUGAAGGUGCGGUAACACGUACUGGAGGUCCGAACCCACUAACGUUGAAAAGUUAGGGGAUGAGCUGUGGAUAGGGGUGAAAGGCUAAACAAACCUGGAAAUAGCUGGUUCUCUCCGAAAACUAUUUAGGUAGUGCCUCGUGUCUCACCUUCGGGGGUAGAGCACUGUCAUGGUUGGGGGGUCUAUUGCAGAUUACCCCGCCAUAGCAAACUCCGAAUACCGAAGAGUGCAAUCACGGGAGACAGACAUCGGGUGCUAACGUCCGGUGUCAAGAGGGAAACAACCCAGACCGCCAGCUAAGGUCCCCAAAUAUGGCUAAGUGGGAAACGAAGUGGGAAGGCUAAAACAGUCAGGAGGUUGGCUUAGAAGCAGCCACCCUUUAAAGAAAGCGUAAUAGCUCACUGAUCGAGUCGUCCUGCGCGGAAGAUGUAACGGGGCUAAGCCAUAUACCGAAGCUGCGGAUGCGUGCUUGCACGCAUGGUAGGAGAGCGUUCCGUAAGCCUGCGAAGGUGCCUUGUAAAGGGUGCUGGAGGUAUCGGAAGUGCGAAUGCUGACAUGAGUAGCGAUAAAGGGGGUGAAAGGCCCCCUCGCCGUAAGCCCAAGGUUUCCUACGCAACGUUCAUCGGCGUAGGGUGAGUCGGCCCCUAAGGCGAGGCAGAAAUGCGUAGCUGAUGGGAAGCAGGUCAAUAUUCCUGCACCGUCGUUAGAUGCGAUGGGGGGACGGAUCGCGGAAGGUUGUCCGGGUGUUGGACGUCCCGGUCGCUGCAUUGGAGAAGGCGCUUAGGCAAAUCCGGGCGCAGGAUUCAAGGGUGUGGCGCGAGCGACUUCGGUCGCGAAGCAAUUGGAAGUGGUUCCAAGAAAAGCCUCUAAGCUUCAGUCUAACGAUGACCGUACCGCAAACCGACACAGGUGGGCGAGAUGAGUAUUCUAAGGCGCUUGAGAGAACUCGGGAGAAGGAACUCGGCAAAUUGGUACCGUAACUUCGGGAUAAGGUACGCCCUUGUAGCUUGACCAGCCUGCGCUGGAAGGGUGAAGGGGUUGCAAUAAACUGGUGGCUGCGACUGUUUAAUAAAAACACAGCACUCUGCAAACACGAAAGUGGACGUAUAGGGUGUGACGCCUGCCCGGUGCCGGAAGAUUAAAUGAUGGGGUGCAAGCUCUUGAUUGAAGUCCCGGUAAACGGCGGCCGUAACUAUAACGGUCCUAAGGUAGCGAAAUUCCUUGUCGGGUAAGUUCCGACCUGCACGAAUGGCGUAACGAUGGCCACACUGUCUCCUCCCGAGACUCAGCGAAGUUGAAGUGUUUGUGAUGAUGCAAUCUACCCGCGGCUAGACGGAAAGACCCCAUGAACCUUUACUGUAGCUUUGCAUUGGACUUUGAACCGAUCUGUGUAGGAUAGGUGGGAGGCUAUGAAACCGGAACGCUAGUUUCGGUGGAGCCGUCCUUGAAAUACCACCCUGGUUUGUUUGAGGUUCUAACCUUGGUCCGUGAUCCGGAUCGGGGACAGUGCAUGGUAGGCAGUUUGACUGGGGCGGUCUCCUCCCAAAGGGUAACGGAGGAGUACGAAGGUACGCUAGGUACGGUCGGAAAUCGUGCUGAUAGUGCAAUGGCAUAAGCGUGCUUAACUGCGAGACCGACAAGUCGAGCAGGUGCGAAAGCAGGUCAUAGUGAUCCGGUGGUUCUGUAUGGAAGGGCCAUCGCUCAACGGAUAAAAGGUACUCUGGGGAUAACAGGCUGAUACCGCCCAAGAGUUCAUAUCGACGGCGGUGUUUGGCACCUCGAUGUCGGCUCAUCUCAUCCUGGGGCUGUAGCCGGUCCCAAGGGUAUGGCUGUUCGCCAUUUAAAGAGGUACGUGAGCUGGGUUUAAAACGUCGUGAGACAGUUUGGUCCCUAUCUGCCGUGGGCGUUGGAUAUUUGAAGGGGGCUGCUCCUAGUACGAGAGGACCGGAGUGGACGAACCUCUGGUGUACCGGUUGUGACGCCAGUCGCAUCGCCGGGUAGCUAUGUUCGGAAGAGAUAACCGCUGAAAGCAUCUAAGCGGGAAACUCGCCUUAAGAUGAGAUAUCCCUGGAGGCUUGACCUCCUUGAAGGGUCGUUCGAGACCAGGACGUUGAUAGGUCGGGUGUGUAAGCGCAGUAAUGCGUUCAGCUAACCGAUACUAAUUGCCCGUAAGGCUUGAUCCU
This 2881-nucleotide ribosomal RNA is filed under the name Burkholderia multivorans. Its description in RNAcentral is "23S ribosomal RNA". It matches the Rfam family "Bacterial large subunit ribosomal RNA". Lineage: Bacteria; Pseudomonadati; Pseudomonadota; Betaproteobacteria; Burkholderiales; Burkholderiaceae. The record is from RNAcentral.